ACGUAGGAGGCGAACGUUAUCCGGAUUUACUGGGCGUAAAGCGCGUGUAGGUGGUUCUGUAAGUAGGGCGUGAAAGCUCCUGGCUCAACUGGGAGAGGCCGUUCUAAACUACAGAACUAGAGGAUGGUAGAGGGAGGUGGAAUUCCAGGUGAAGCGGUGGUCUGGGCAGAUACCUGGAGGUCCGCCAGUGAAGAUAGGGUCCCCAUCGGCCAUUCCUUACCCUCAGACGGGAAAUCUAGGGUAGGAAGGGG
Molecule: ribosomal RNA, 251 nt
Filed under: uncultured prokaryote
Description: partial 16S rRNA
Rfam family: Bacterial small subunit ribosomal RNA
Source: RNAcentral